This 174-nucleotide long non-coding RNA is filed under the name Parus major (Great Tit). RNAcentral's name for it is "lncRNA (ENSPMJG00000019588.1)". Lineage: Eukaryota; Metazoa; Chordata; Aves; Passeriformes; Paridae. The record is from RNAcentral.
CAAACCUCUGUUUCACUUUCUUUACAAAGCCAGUAAUUGCAGAGAGGAUCUGGAGGAGCUGGAGCCACUUGAGAUGAGUGAUUUUCUUGAAGGAAAUCCAGCUGAGGUGUGAAGAAUCCUAACGCUGUGAGCAGGACCAGCACUGUGCUGUCACCAGCAUGAGUUGUGGGAUGU